Molecule: long non-coding RNA, 314 nt
Organism: Amphimedon queenslandica
Lineage: Eukaryota; Metazoa; Porifera; Demospongiae; Haplosclerida; Niphatidae
Exons: 2
Source: RefSeq, a predicted model, not a curated record
UUGAAUUGAAUGAAAACUUUGCCUACUACAUACACAUGAUAUGUUACAGUAUUACAUUGUCAUUGUCCUUAUUGUUGUAUUGUUCUUAUGUUCCUCCUGUUAAUGUACCCACAGGGUAAUGUCCCUCCUGAUGCUAGUACUGAUACUCAUGAGAUACCAAGAAGAACUAAACUAGCUCAACAACAAUUUGAUUCAUUCAUUAAAAGUGGAUUAAUUAUUAAUUAUUGUAAUGGACCAUGUACUGACUGUACUGAACCAUCAUAACUAAUAAUAAUGUAUUAUACUACUCUUUUAUAAUGGCCGUUUAUAUAUUU